ACAUCCUCAUUAAGCUGAAUGUAAGAAUGAUUCAACAUAGGCAAAUUAAUCAAUGUGUUACAUCUCAUCAACAGAAUGAAGGACAAAAUAAAUGAUCAUUUCAAUUAUUGCUGAAAAAGCAUUUUAUAAAAUUCAAAUAUC
This is a long non-coding RNA of Sapajus apella (tufted capuchin), 141 nucleotides long. RefSeq lists it as uncharacterized. The record is from RefSeq and is a predicted model, not a curated record. The transcript has 3 exons. Lineage: Eukaryota; Metazoa; Chordata; Mammalia; Primates; Cebidae.